RNAcentral lists this ribosomal RNA (497 nucleotides) under uncultured bacterium. RNAcentral's name for it is "partial 16S ribosomal RNA". It matches the Rfam family "Bacterial small subunit ribosomal RNA", at positions 28 to 507 of the family's 1533-position model. The record is from RNAcentral.
GAUGAACGCUGGCGGCGUGCCUAAUACAUGCAAGUCGAGCGAACGGACGAGAAGCUUGCUUCUCUGAUGUUAGCGGCGGACGGGUGAGUAACACGUGGAUAACCUACCUAUAAGACUGGGAUAACUUCGGGAAACCGGAGCUAAUACCGGAUAAUAUUUUGAACCGCAUGGUUCAAAAGUGAAAGACGGUCUUGCUGUCACUUAUAGAUGGAUCCGCGCUGCAUUAGCUAGUUGGUAAGGUAACGGCUUACCAAGGCAACGAUGCAUAGCCGACCUGAGAGGGUGAGCAGCCAAAGUGGAACUGAGACAGGGGCAAGAGUCCUACGGGAGGCAGAAGGGGGGAAUAUUGGACAAUGGGCGCAAGCCUGACGGAGCAAUACCGCGUGAGUGAAGAAGGUCUUCGGGUUGUAAAGCUCUUUUGUUGGGAAAGAACAGAAGCGGACGAAUACCCCGCGGUCCUGACGGUACGCAAUGAAAAAGCAACGGCUAACUUCGUG